AGGAAUUUUCGGCAAUGGAGGAAACUCUGACCGAGCAACGCCGCGUGAACGAUGAAGUAUUUAGGUACGUAAAGUUCUUUUAUUAAAGAAGAAAAAAUGAUGGAAAAAUCAUUCUGACGGUAUUUAAUGAAUAAGCCCCGGCUAACUAUGUGCCAGCAGCUGCGGUAAUACAUGGGGGGCAAGCGUUAUCCGGAUUUAUUGGGCGUAAAGGGUGCGUAGGCGGUUAAAUAAGUCUAUGGUAUAAGUUCAACGCUUAACGUUGUGAUGCUAUAGAAACUGUUUGACUAGAGUUGGAUAGAGGCAAGUGGAAUUCCAUGUGUAGCGGUAAAAUGCGUAAAUAUAUGGAGGAACACCAGUAGCGAAGGCGGCUUGCUGGGUCUUAACUGACGCUGAGGCACGAAAGCGUGGGGAGCGAACAG
This 419-nucleotide ribosomal RNA is filed under the name Candidatus Phytoplasma prunorum. RNAcentral describes it as "bacterial SSU rRNA". It matches the Rfam family "Bacterial small subunit ribosomal RNA", at positions 357 to 775 of the family's 1533-position model. The record is from RNAcentral. Lineage: Bacteria; Bacillati; Mycoplasmatota; Mollicutes; Acholeplasmatales; Acholeplasmataceae.